GACGAACGCUGGCGGCGUGCUUAACACAUGCAAGUCGAACGGAAAGGCCCUGCUAUUGUGGGGUGCUCGAUUGGCGAACGGGGGAGUAACACGUGAGUAACGUGCCCUUGACUUUGGUAUAACUUCAGGAAACUGGGGCUAAUACCGGAUAGGAUCUCCUGCUGCAUUGUGAGGAUUGGAAAGUUUCGGCGGUUGGGGAUGGACUCGCGGCUUAUCAGCUUGUUGGUGGGGUAGUGGCAUACCAAGGCUUUGACGGGUAGCCGGCCCGAGAGGGGGAACGGCCACAUUGGGACUGAGAUACGGCGCAGACUCGUAUGGGAGGCAGCAGUGGGGAAUAUUGCACAAUGGGAGGGAGCCGGAUGCAGCAACGCCGCGGGCGGGAUGACGGCCUGUGGGGUGUAAACAGCUUCCGCCUGAGACAAAGCGUGAGUGACGGUAAUGGGUAAAGAAGCACCGGCUAACUACGUG
RNAcentral lists this ribosomal RNA (468 nucleotides) under uncultured bacterium. RNAcentral describes it as "partial 16S ribosomal RNA". It matches the Rfam family "Bacterial small subunit ribosomal RNA", at positions 28 to 507 of the family's 1533-position model. The record is from RNAcentral.